UACGUAGGGUGCAAGCGUUGUCCGGAAUUAUUGGGCGUAAAGAGCUCGUAGGCGGUUUGUCGCGUCUGCUGUGAAAACCCGAGGCUCAACCUCGGGCCUGCAGUGGGUACGGGCAGACUGGAGUGCGGUAGGGGAGAUUGGAAUUCCUGGUGUAGCGGUGGAAUGCGCAGAUACCAGGAGGAACACCAAUGGCGAAGGCAGAUCUCUGGGCCGUAGCUGACGCUGAGGAGCGAAAGCAUGGGGAGCGAACAGG
This 253-nucleotide ribosomal RNA is filed under the name uncultured bacterium. RNAcentral describes it as "partial 16S ribosomal RNA". It matches the Rfam family "Bacterial small subunit ribosomal RNA", at positions 524 to 776 of the family's 1533-position model. The record is from RNAcentral.